Molecule: long non-coding RNA, 228 nt
Filed under: Elaeis guineensis (African oil palm)
Lineage: Eukaryota; Viridiplantae; Streptophyta; Magnoliopsida; Arecales; Arecaceae
Description: long non-coding RNA (EGUI_LNC049934)
Source: RNAcentral
AAAUCAAGAGAAGGGACAUGGUAAAUAUAAAAAAAAAAUUUUGAAAAAAAUUUGAGAAAAAAAAAGAGGAAAUCUUGAAUAGCAAAAGUUGCUAUAAGGAUGGUGAGAUUUUUAGCAAGUGUUGCUUGAGUGCCCUAGGAUUUGAUUUUUCUAUGUGUUGGAACCAAAAAUCAUAUCCUAAAUUGUGUAACAUUUGAAGAGUAUCUUUUUAAUAUCAUUCUAGUGGUA